RNAcentral lists this long non-coding RNA (341 nucleotides) under Ananas comosus (pineapple). RNAcentral's name for it is "long non-coding RNA (ACOM_LNC011942)". Lineage: Eukaryota; Viridiplantae; Streptophyta; Magnoliopsida; Poales; Bromeliaceae. The record is from RNAcentral.
GACACUCCGGAGAACUCGACGACAAUCCCCUCCAUAUGGGGAUAGGAUGGCUAUACCACCCCAAAAGCAGACUGUGAGCUAGAUCUAUCCUCUCCAAGUGAGGAUACACUACAACUAGGGUCAACAACCCAAUCAAAUCCUCUCCAAGUGAGGAUGCUCUACAACUAGAGUCAACAACCCAAUCAAAUCCUCUCCAAGUGAGGAUGCUCUACAACUAGAGUCAAUAACCCAAUCGAAUCCUCUCCAAGUGAGGAAGCACUAUAACUAGGGUCCACAACCCAAUCAAGUCCUCUCCAAGUGAGGAUGCCAUACACUAGGGUCAACAUCUCUCGCGGAAUCAU